GAUGAACGCUGGCGGCGUGCUUAACACAUGCAAGUCGAACGGAAAGGCUCCUGCUUGCAGGGGUACUCGAGUGGCGAACGGGUGAGUAACACGUGGGUGAUCUGCCCUGCACUUCGGGAUAAGCCUGGGAAACUGGGUCUAAUACCGGAUAGGACGAUGGUUUGGAUGCCAUUGUGGAAAGUUUUUCGGUGUGGGAUGAGCUCGCGGCCUAUCAGCUUGUUGGUGGGGUAAUGGCCUACCAAGGCGUCGACGGGUGGCCGGCCUGGGGGGGUGUACGGCCACAUUGGGACUGGGGAACGGCCCAGACUCCACCGGGGGGCAGCGGGGGGGAAUAUUGCACAAUGGGCGCAAGCCUGAUGCAGCGACGCCGCGUGGGGGAUGACGGCCUUCGGGUUGUAAACUCCUUUCGCUAGGGACGAAGCGCAAGUGACGGUACCUGGAGAAGAAGCACCGGCUAACUACGUG
Molecule: ribosomal RNA, 465 nt
Filed under: uncultured bacterium
Lineage: Bacteria
Description: partial 16S ribosomal RNA
Rfam family: Bacterial small subunit ribosomal RNA
Source: RNAcentral